Molecule: microRNA precursor, 72 nt
Organism: Human alphaherpesvirus 1 strain 17
Lineage: Duplodnaviria; Heunggongvirae; Peploviricota; Herviviricetes; Herpesvirales; Orthoherpesviridae
Rfam family: mir-H11 microRNA precursor family
Source: Rfam
GAACGCGAAGCGUUCGCACUUUGUCCUAAUAAUAUAUAUAUUAUUAGGACAAAGUGCGAACGCUUCGCGUUC